Mirounga angustirostris (Northern elephant seal) is the source of this 26045-nucleotide long non-coding RNA. RefSeq lists it as uncharacterized. The record is from RefSeq and is a predicted model, not a curated record. Lineage: Eukaryota; Metazoa; Chordata; Mammalia; Carnivora; Phocidae. The transcript has 2 exons.
CAUUUCUGUUAAAUUUAGUUGUAGAAUAUGGAAGAAAUCUAAAAGUUGAUGACUGAACAAGAGCGCUGUCCAUUCUGACUCAAAAUAUAUUCUUUUAGACCGACCUUUCAAAGAUGGUCUCAAUAUUGGAAAAGCACUAUGGUCUCGUCUAGACUAGUAAAAUGAUGUUGUGUUUGAACUGUUGAUUCGAUGUCAAGUACCCAUGGGUUUGCAUAUGAGCUCAGACACUUGCUGCUAGAGUGAUUUUGGACACAUUUUAAUGACCUCUGAGCCUCAGUCUUCUCAUCUAUAAAAUGGUGACUACAAUAUUGUAGCAAACCUUAUGGAGUUAUUGUGAAAACCAAAUGAGAUUAUUUAUUGAUUCAGCCAAUAUUUACUGAGGACCUACUAUGCACAAGGCAUGCUACUCAGAGCUGGAGAUACACAGUGAGGAAAACAGACCCAGCCCUGCCUUCAUGGAGCAUACUGCCUAAUGCUGUAUGUCAUUAAUAGAAGAAGUGCUCGUUAACUGUUAGCUGUUAUUAGCAGUCGAAAUCAGUUUGCUCUUCCUCAAAUUGGAGUAUGUUUUUGUGUCGAAUGGAGGGGAGAUUCCCAGCCAUUAGACUUGGAAAUUUUAAUUGGUAGGACUUCAGAUGUUGUGCUGCAAAGGUGUCCUUUGGUGGCACCUGCUGGUCUUCGGUUUUCGAUGGAAAUUCCAGUCAGGAAGAAGGGGUAGCUGCCAUAGAGUUUGCUCUGUCAGGGCUAGUCCCAGUCCCACCCGUGAGGUGGAAGCAACAAAGGGCAAACAAAUAAGGAUUCUUGGAAUAACACCAUCAUUUGACAUCAGACAGACCACAGUGGCAGAUUUUUCACAUGCCACCAGGUAAUUUCCACUCGCCACAUUCGUGCCUGUAAUCAUCAAGUCUAGCAGUUGCUUCUUUCACACUAAUCAUCAGCCUUGUAAUCAAACUCAGAAGUGAAUUAUUUUACUAGAAAAGAUUCUACUGGGCUAAAGAACUUAGCACUGCACUUUUAUGCUCAGCCAUUAUAAAGUUCACUUAGAGUUAUUGAGACCGUUUUUAAGAAUUCCCUAUAGACAUGCAGUCAGGAUCCAAUGAGAAUUUAUGUAGUUCAUUCCUCAAGGUCUGUAUUGUAUAGUUCUUGUGUACUUUGCUGCUUUGGUACGGAAUCUACUAUGAGAGUGGCUAGACUUGCCAUCUAAAUGGAUUUGCUCCAUUGAUCACAGCAUAACUCUAGAGCUAAUGGACCAGGAGUCUGGGAAGGGCAGGCACUGAAAAGUUGGGUGCUUAUGUGAAGUGGUGGUUCUAAUGCAUCAACUCCACAAAUGAAAGAGCUUCUAGAAGAAAACACUCUAUUAUGUGCUGACAGAGCUCUCUGCUCCUGUGCCAAUCCUUACUUUGUCCGUAUACAUUUACAGAAUAUGUGUUAUCGUGGCAAAGCAUCUUUAAAGGUAUAGGCUGAUGAUGUUUGCAAAACAUACUGGCUUUCUGUGUGACCUUGGACCAUCCAUUAGCCUCUCUGGGAGUGUCCCUGGUAGACAUUCUCAUGUGAAAAAGGUGAAAUGAGGAAUUGCGUAUGGAUGGGCAGCCCUGACCCUGAGAUCAAAGCUGUGGGAUCAUAACCCUACCUGGUAGUGUGACCUGAAGUAAGUUACCUAGCUUCUCUAGGGUUCAAUUCCCUCCUUUCAUAACUGCAGUAUUUUAAUGAGUAGUAUCAAGUGAGAAAUGGCUGUGUAAACCAUGGCAAACCAGUCAAAUGUCAGUCAUUUUGCUAAUGCUUUCUAUGAUCUCUUCUAGUCUAAGAGGGUGUAGGUGGGGGGGGAUUCAGUGACAGAAAUCUGCCCACUGCCGGAUGGGUUAGGGUGCUAGCUCUAGAGUCAGAGUAACUGGCUCUACUCCUUUCAAGUUGUGUGACAUUAGGCAACUUAACCCUUCUUAGCCUCAGUUUCCUUAUCUGUAGAAUGGGGCUUUAAAUAGAACCCUAUUUAAACCCCAUAGGUUUGAAUGAGGUUUGAAUGAGACUGCUUGCUAAGUCCUGGCACAGCAUCUGACACAUGGCAAGACUUGGUGAUAAUUCUUAGCCACUUCUCAUUAUUACUCUCCCCAUCAUUGAUCCUUGACUAAUAAAGGUUAAAUUUCCCCUUUUUCAUUUAGGGUUUUGGGGUGGUUCUUUUUUUUGUGGGGGGAGUGAUUUUAUUUUUAACUGUGGUAGAAUACAUCGAACAAAGUUUAUCAUUUUAACCAUUUUUAAGCACACCAUUCAGUAGUCAAAUACUUUUGCGUUGGUGUGCAACCAUCACCACCAUUCAUCUUGCAAAACUGAAACUCUGUACCCAUUAAACAAUAACUCCCCACUCCCCAUUCCCCCAGCCCCUGGCAACCACCCUUCUACUUUCUGUCUCUGAGUUUUUGACUAUUCCUCAUAUCGGUAUUUGUGCCCUCCUGUGACCGGCUUAUUUCACGUAGCAUAAUACCCUCAGAGUUCACCCAUGUUGGAUCAUCUGUUCAAAUUUCCUUGGUUUUCAAGGCUGAAUAAUGCUCCAAUUUAUGUAUGCCAUGUUUUGUUUAUCCACUCAUCUGUCUGUGAACACUUGGGUUGCUUUCACCUUUCGGCUUUUGUGCAUAAUGCUGCUAUGAACGUGGUACGCAAAUAACUCAUGUUAGUUUUAAUUCAACUAAAGAUCGCGCUUCAUUAUGUAUAACUGUGUGACAGCAGUGACUUGCAAAAUAUAUGUAGACUCAAGACCCAUAAUGUUAAACUCUCACGAAGGAGGUACCCUAAUGCCAUGGCUGCACUGGAAUGUGGGAAGCAAAGCCAAGGUGUUGAACUGUGGGAGCAGGGCAUGCCUGGAAACAGUGCUCUUAGCCCCCUUGCCUGGUCAAGCCUGGUCUGUGGGCUACAUUGGAUGAAAUUUCAAUUAAUAGCUGGUUCCUCUAAACAUUGUUUUAAAUUCUUCUAAUCACUUUCUGUCAUAAGAAUGGUCUCAUUCUAAUAAAAAAUGUGGGUGUAGUCUUAUAUGAAAUAACUCCAAAUCUCAUUCCAGUUUAAGUCUCUCCAAUCUUGGGCCUGCAUUUGGCUGAUAAGGAGAAGGGAACGGUAGCUUUUUCUCUGUCCCCCGUUAACGUGCACUUAGUCUGCCUCUGGCCCCUCUAGGGUUGAAGCUUGGACAUUCGAUGGUACCCGUCCAGCCUCUUCCAGCAGAGGACCCGCACUCUUGGCAGAAACCCUCUGGGCAGUAUCCCUUUGAGAAAGUCCUACUGCUAAUUCAGUACCUGAUCUCCAGGCACCACAGACCUUUGACCUGUGACCUUACCAUUGGUGAGAGUGCAGUUACAACUCUCACCUGAGUCUCUGCUCCACUGCAGGGGCUGUUUCUCUUCAGCCUGCAGACUUGUAGUCAUCUCCAACCCACCACUGUGCCCCUGCCUUAGAGGAACCUCCAGUUGUGCAUUUAGAGCCUUACUCGUUAGCUCCAUAUCCUUUCCACUGGGAUGUGGGCAGUGGGAUUCUGCACAUUGAUAACUUGCUUUGAAGAAAUCCUUUCCUGGCUUCUAACUUGAUCAACGCUUUGAAAACUCAAGGUAGCUGUUGGGCUCAAGGAUACAGAAUCUAUUUUCAAAUAAUGUCUUUGCAAAUGCUGCUAGGUUUAGCUUCACCCUUUAGCAUGAGAACAAUUGACACUGUUUUGGGGCUUCAGACAAAAGUGAAACCAAAAGAGCCCCAUUUUAACAUCCUCCCACAGAAGUUAAAUGCAGUAGACAUAGGUUUAUCUGAAGUCUGUGAGAGAAUUUAUGUCCUCAGAAAAGUCAUUGUUUAUAGGAGUCUGUGCCUCUUAAGAUAUAAAAAGCCCAAAUCCAAAAGAAGAUUGAUAAUUUGGGUUACGUUAAAAGAUAAAUUCUGUAUGAUAAAAGAUACAGGAUUUCAAAAACAAGUGACGGACUAGGAGAAACCUUUGUAGAGGUAACAGACAAAUGACUAACAUUUGGAAUGUAUAUAAACCACCAAGAAUUAUGGAUUGAUUUUUUAAGACAAGUAAGCCAAUAGAAAAAUGGGCAAAGGAUUUGAAAGGGUAAUUUACAGAAAAAGAGCACCCUGACAGAAUUUCUGGGUCAAACUGAAAAUGUGCAAACAAUCUAGCAACUUCAGUUCUAUGUCAUACCUUGGAAAAGAAGUAACUGAAGAUUUAUUUAAGUCCUUUGAAAUAAUUGACUUCAGUACACAUGUAUUGAGCUUCUGCUGUUAUGUCAAGUAAUAUACGGUGGGAGCUGGGAAUCAGAGAUACAGGACAUGUUUCUUAGCCUCCAGUCAUUUAUAAGGUGGUGUGAGGGAUAAGCCCAUAAACAGAACCUCAGUGGUAAGUGCAAUGCACUUAUGAGAUUAAGUAUCCUACUGAUUAACGAAGAACCUUAAGAGAUGAUAGGCAUCUCUUAGAUAGAAUUUUCCCGAUACUAUGGGUUUUGUGAGAUAUAUUUAGUCUAAUUUUUUGUUCUAUCCUAACACACACGGGGAAGGAAUUAUUUUGUCUACUCUGCAAUAAUUAUUCCAAGAUAAUGGGAUCAAUAUUCCGUUUAGACUAAAAAUAGAGUGAAAUUUAUUUAAUUACAGUUGACCCUUGAACAGUUUGAUGGUUGGGGCACUGAUCCCCAUCCUGUGUAGUUGAAAAUCCCCAUAUAACUUUUGACUCCCCCACAACUUAACUACUAAUAGUCUACAGUUGAUUAGAGCCCAAUCAAUGACAUAAACAGUCAGUUAACACAUAUUUUGUAUGUUAUGUAUAUUAUAUACCGUAACCUUAAGAUAAAGCAAGCUAGAUAAAAGAAAAUAAUAUCUUUUUUUUAAAGAUUGUGGUGGUAGAGGGAGAGAGAGAAUCUCAAGCAGACUCCCCAGUGAGCGCAGAGCCGGACGUGGGGCUCCAUCCCAGGACCCUGAGAUCAUGACCCGAGCCAAAAUCAAAAAGAGUCAGCUACUGAACCUACUGAGCCACCCAGGAACCCCAAGAGAAUAUAGUAUUAAGAAAAUCAUAAGGAAAAGAAAAUACAUUUACAGUACUAUACUGUAUUUAUCAAAAAGAAAAUCUGAGGGCGCCUGGGUGCCUCAAUCGGCUAAGCGUCUGCCUUCAGCUCAGGUCAUGAUCCCAGAGUCCAGAGAAUGAGCACCGCAUCAGGCUCCCUGCUGAGCAGGGAGCCUGCUUCUCCCUCUCCUCCGUACUGUGCUGUCUCGCUCUCUCUGUCUCUCUCUCUCUCUCUCUAAUAGAUAAAUAAAUCUUAAAAAUAUAUACACACACACACAUGUAUAUAUAAAAAAAGAAAAUUUGUAUAUAAGUGGACCUAUCCAGUUCAUACCCAUGUUGUUCAGUUAACUGUAAUUGCACAAAUUUGUCAGUCUAGACCAAAAUAGCCCCUGAGAAUUUGGGGGUAAAAUGCUGUGGUCCCCGUGAUAGCUAUUUCUAUUCCUCCUUUAGCCAACAGUCCUCAUGGGAGUCCACUUAACCUCCAUUCACUGCUGUAAAAGCAAACAUUUCUUUGGCAUCAAAUCCUAAUCAUGUGUUAUUUUUUAAAAAAUAAGAAGAAAGAAAAGGAAAACAACAUUGAGUUUCUAGGCUUUAAUAAAUUAUCUCAUUUUUAAACUAUUUGUAAGGAUUUCAAACUUACACAUGAUCCUUGGUUUUUUAAAUUUGCUUUCUGUUUUCUUAAUUUGGUUUGGAUUCCCAUUUCGAAUGAAUACCUUUCCUUCACUCUGGAAUUCAGCAUACACUUGUACGCAUUUAAGCUAGGAGUUCUUAACUGGUAGCUACCAGCCACCCCUCCCAUGAUUAAAUACAGAAUUCUAUACGUACCUAUAUAGUUGGUUGGUUGUGUUUUUUUUCUUUUUUAACAAGAGAAGGGCUCCAUGACUCUCGUUAGAUUUUUCAAAAGGGUCCAUGAUCCAAAAAAGAUCAAGACCCAGGGUCUCCUCAUAGCCUAAGGGAUGCUGUGUGGCAUUUCCCCAUACUUCCUUUAUAGUGACCUAUACGAAGCUUUGGUGGCUUUUAACGUUCCACUUACAUUUGACAUUUAGCAUCCUCUUCCAAAGUGCUGGGCAAGAUGUUGCCUGAAUUGAGUGAGUCUUCUCCUUGGCAUCUGCAGAGAGCGCCACUGACCUGCCCUGGGUUCUCCCCAGGCUGCCUGGGUACAUAAGCAGAGCAGACUGUGGGUCAGGAGAAAAUGUUAGACCAGUGCCUGGUGGUUAAAUCAUGCACUGAGCUUCGCCCUGAAUGUUUCAGGAUUAGGGUUUCGAGAUCAGAAUAAAUAACCAUGGUCAUUCUAAGACAAACUGAGGGGGAUUGGGAUGCAAAGGCUCGUUAAUAUUUUCAUUACAAAUGCUGCCAUUCUCUGAGCGGUUCCCAAGCUACAGACCUGUGUUCCAAACCAGCCAUCACCUGCAUUCUCACCGAAGCCUGAAACAGUUCUGGGGGGUGGGGUUGUUAUCCUCGUUUUUACAGAUGACCCAACUGAAGCCUAGAGAGAUUACAACAUGUGUCCUCUGUCACCCAGCCAGUAAGUGGCAGAGGGUGCAACCUCAGGGCCCCCUCCUGCCAAAACCUGUGCAGACGGUCAGUUGACCACUGUGCCUACAGUGAUUUUCUCGUUUCUCUUUAGCUGGUUCCCACCCACUCCCAUGAAAAAACACCAAGUUUCAGAUGACCUGUCUACAGGGGAUGGCCACAACUUAAAAUCGUACCAGUAUAAUUAUACUCUGCCGAACUGUAAUAAUGUCUGCCAACAGUGGUGGGAUACUUUUGGGUUUUCUUUCAUUUCUUUUUUUUUUGUAAAUUAUUAUUAUUAUUAUUUUUAAUUUUAAUUCCAGUGUAGGGACUUUUUUUCUUCUUCUUCUUUUCUCCUGACCACUUUAAGAGAUGUUUCUCCCUAAUACAGUACUAAUUAGAAGGUUAUCUUGUUGAGUCACAACAUCUUACUGCUCCCCUUACUUAUCCACUGUCCUUUUGCAAAACGUUUAAAUCUUGCUCCUUGGGCUUCAGGAAACCCUGCUCGCAGCUUCAACCAGUCACCGGCUUGUUGUCUGUUUCCAUUUUUUAUUGCCAUCAAAUUUUAAAUAUCCUUUCAUUUCAGUAGAAGAGAACCAGACCAAACUAAACAUUCCUACAAUUUCACCCACCCUUUAAAAAAAUCUGACGUCAAGUGGUCUCCCAGCUUUCUAAGCUGGAAUUCUCCCAGACCGCACUCUGUUUACAUUAUUUAGAAGCACAGAUCUCAGCCUAGGCUCUAUUUUUGUUAGGAUACUUCCAAUUUUUUUUCCUCCAGUGAUUGUAUCCGUAAUUAAAUCAAGGACAAGAAGUGCAGAGGUGUCCGUCAUGUGCUAAUCUUCGGGGAAACUACUCAUCGCCAGUGAUGUUCUUUUUUUUUUUUUUUUAAAGAUUUUAUUUAUUUAUUUGACACAGAGAGAGAGAGACAGCAAGAGAGGGAACACAAGCAGGGGGAGUGGAGGAGGGAGAAGCAGGCUUCCCGCCAAGCAGGGAGCCCGAUGCGGGGCUCCAUCUCAGGACCCUGGGAUCAUGACCUGAGCCGAAGGCAGACGCUUAACAACUGAGCCACCCAGGCGCCCCACCAGUGGUGUUCUUUAAGCCUGGUAUUCAGAAGCCCAGUCAGAGAAGGUGGUUUUCACUAUCCCGGGAGUUCUGACAUCUCUAAUGUAGCUUGAGACCUGAUCACAUUCUCCCUCAUUCUCGAGGCUGGUCCUUAUUCCACCCCACCUUUCUCUGCCCGUGCUUCUGUAUAAAGUCACCCUCCCCUCUUUCAUCAGCUAGUCUUCUGCCCUUAAAAAACGUAAGUGGGGAAAAAAAGGUGAAAUAUACUGAGUAUACAGUUUCCAGGAAAAUAUGCAGAUUAAUAUAAUAAAUGCCUGUAUUCCCAUCAUUCACUGAGUUGUGUUAAAAUCAUAACAUCGCUAUGUGCGCUUUAGUUUGUUGGGGUUUUUUUGUUUUUUUUUUUUUAAUUUUAUUUAUUUGUUUGAGAGAGAGAGAAUGAGAGACAGAGAGCAUGAGAGGGAGGAGGGUCAGAGGGAGAAGCAGACUCCCUGCCGAGCAGGGAGCCCGAUGCGGGACUCGAUCCCAGGACUCCAGGAUCAUGACCUGAGCUGAAGGCAGUCGCUUAACCAACUGAGCCACCCAGGCGCCCUGUUGUUUUGUUUUUUAAAUAAAACAUUCAACACAGAGUUGAGGUCCCUGUGAAUCCCUCCCUGAUCUCCUUCCCUUUUCUGCUUCUCUAGAGGAAGCCACUCUCCCAAUUUAGGGAUUAUCAUUUCCAGGCGUGGUUUAUACUUUUAUUCCAUAAGUACGUAUCCGCAAAAGAUCUACAACAGAGAUUCCUGGACCUUCUCGUUUCAUGUAGUGUCUCAGCAGUUUUUUCCUAAGGCAUAUGAGGCCAACAGAAAUACCUAACACAUCCAUUUAUUAAGUAGUUAGGUCCAAACAACUUAAUGGAUAUUUAUGUCUUGACACCUUAGUAGCUGCCUGAAAAAAAGAAUACAUACAAAUUGAAAGGAAAGAUAUUAUUUCAUUUUUUUUUAAAGAUUUUAUUUAUUUGAGAGAGAGAGAGAGCACAUGAGAGGGGGAAGGGUCAGAGGGAGAAGCAGACUCCCCGCCGAGCAGGGAGCCCGAUGCGGGACUCGAUCCCGGGACUCCAGGAUCAUGACCUGAGCUGAAGGCAGUCGCCCAAUCAAGUGAGCCACCCAGGUGCCCGAUAUUAUUUCAUUUUUAAAUAGCCACCAUAACUUAUUAUUGAGAUGUGUGUCUUUGUUGGGCACUGAACAACUUCUCGGUCCUUGAGAUCGGUGGACGCUUCAGAGUUCAUUUCCUGUUCCCCAGUGGCUUUCACACCGUUCGUGCUCUUACUGCAGCAACAGUCAAAAAUUUGGCUUCACAAACAUAUGUCACUGAAAGGAGUGUAGGGCGAUAAAGUGGAAACCAGGAACUACCUCAGAGUAGAACUUGCAGGGCUCAACAGAUGUCAAGUAUUACCGAGCUUCCCUGCAAACUUGAAAACACCCCAUGGCUCCUCCAAGUUCAGUGCAGUGGCUCAGGACAGCCCAGCACGUCAGUUUCGGAACCGCAGAUAUGCAGCAUGUUUCUGUAGCAUUUUAUAGGUUUGAAAAUUUUAUGCAUUAAUAAAUCUUACUAUCUGCAUUGCGCUACAAGAGAGAUCAGCCAACUUUUUAUAUAGGCUUUGUGUGUCAUAGCAUCUCUGUGCAAAUAUUCAGUUGCAAAAGGCAGCCACAGGGAGCCCCGAAAAAUGCAGGAAGGAAGCCAUGUUCCAACAGAUUGAUUUAUUCAGACUCUGACAUUUGAAUUUCACCUAAUUCUCACAUGCAAUGAAGUAUUAUUCCUCUUUUGGUUUUUUCCCCCAAACAUUAAAAAAUGUAAAAAAAAAAAAAAAUUGAAGACUAUAAAAAAGUUGCAGGCCACCUAAAAGCAGAAGGCAGGCUAUUUUUGUUCAAACUGACAUUCCUGCGUUUAUCCGAGUAGCUGUGAUCAAAGAAGCCUCAUCCAACCCGUAGUGAAGUCUUCCUUGGCAUGAACAUAGGCACAUGCAUUUGUGCGCUCUUCCUUCAGGGGCACUGAGAUUCCUUUCUGGUGUUCUGUUGCAAAUAAUGCUACCGGGAACAUUCUAGUUUGUAUCUCUGAGAAUACGAACACAAGUCUCCGUGCAGCAGUCUUCGAGGGUCUGUUCCCAGGAGUGAGGUGUUAGGUCUGAAUAUGACCACUUGGCCAUUAUGUGUUGUAACACAUAAUGUAACUUCUCCUGUCUGUGCCUUGUCUUUUAAAUGUGUUCAUUGUACCUUUUCUUUUUCCAUCCUUUCUGUUCAUGAUUUCUGCUUUUGGAGUCACAAAGAUCAUUGAUAUUGGCUUAUAAAAUGCUGCCUCUUACAUGUAGGCCUUUAAAUAUCUCAAGGUUUCUGUUCGUUUAGGGUGGCCCUUUUCCCGAAGUCAUAACAUUUGUGAAAUUUUUUCCUCCUUGGUGACUCUUUCGGAGGUGGCUGUCAGCGCCAGCCCUUAAAAACAAACAAAAAAGGCCCAAGCAGGUUCCGUAGAUUUAAAUCAAUCAGGAGCUCAGCUCCCCUCGUUCCAUGCCCCCUUUCAAGGUCGCUGCUGGUGGUGGGACCUGCACUUGGAACUGCUCUCUAAGCCACCUACUCUGGCCAAGUGAGGGUCUCCCUCCUACUCCGCCUCCCCAGGGAAGAGCAGCGACCAGUUAGAUGGUCUCCGACACUGCUUGCCAGGCGCAGAGCCCAGGCUUUCUGCAAGGAGAUCCACGCAUCAUCUCCCCCUCCCCCUGACUAGUCACCUCUUGAUGCUGGACUUGCCUUGGCAGUGGUACCUGGUUUUUGGAGAAUUGAAAAGCUAUCCUACUGCCUCUUCUAAUUCUAUGUUGUCCAGUUCUGAACAUUUGUCAUAAACGGUCCCGUGGGCCUUUGAAAAGAAGGUUUAAUUUUAUGGCCUAUUUACUUUUCUGUUUGACAAGAUACUUUGAAUAAAACUAUCUUAACUUUUGCAAUACUGUCAGUUCAUCUAUUUGGUUAUUAUUUGUAUUGCUGAUAUGGUCUCUAAAUAUAAAUCAAUCCAAAAGUGUUUUUGAGAUAAGGAAGAAAUAACUUUCACUAUAGAAGAUGUCAAAAACUUCAGGUCUUUAUGAUCUAGCUCAGCAAAAAAAGGAGUAUGUGAUGAUACCAGUUUUCUAGAAUUGAUUUGCAGAAGAAGAAUACAAAACAUUUAUCCCCUUUCUUGUGGGAAAGUAGUUGAAGAGUUUUUAAUUAGAAGCCUAGUUUCUGUUUGUCUUUUUCCAUGGUGCACAUGGGAUAGUAAAUUAUGAGAAGUCAUGCCCCCCACCCCAUUUCUCUGCCUCUCCACGAAGUGCCCACCAUCCUGAAUUUUGUGUAUUGAUGAUAAGACUUUUUAGUUAUUGCUGCCGACUUACAUAUAUUUUGUAUGUAUCAACUCUGUCAUAAAUUUUUUUAAAAAAUUUAGAAACAGGAUUUGUUAAUUAACAAUCACCAGAUUUUACAACCUGAUCUUUCAGAGUUUUGGUGGAAUUAAGUUAGAGUAAUAUUAAGUUACACUAAUAUUUUUUGUUUCCUGUUUUGGCUGAUAACAGUUUUUAGGUCAUUUUCUGCUACAUAUGCUGAAAAUCAAGAUAAUGGAGAUGAUUUUCCAUAGAGCAGCCAAAUAUAAUAGAUUGCCAGCUCCAGCUGCCUAGGUUUUUUAUUUAUUUUUUAUUCAAGUAGAGUUAACAUACAGUGUUGUAUUAAUUUCAGGUGUACAAUAUAGCGAUUCAACAAUUGUACGCGUUGCUCAGUGCUCCUCAAGAUAAGUGCACUUCUUAAUCCCCGUCACCCAUUUAACCCAUCCCCCCACCCCCCUCCCCUCUGGUAACCACCAGUUUGUUCUCUAUAGUUAAGAGUCUGUUUCUUUGUUUGUCUUUUUUUCCCCCCUUUGUUUUGCUUCUUAAAUUCCACUUAUGAGUGAAAUCAUAUGAUAUUUGUCUUUCUCUGGCUUAUUUCACUUAGCAUUAUACCCUCUAGGUCCAUCCACUGUUGUUGCAAAUGGCAAGAUUUCAUUCUUUUUUAUGGCGGAGUAAUAUUGCAUUGUAUAUAUAUCCCAUCUUCUCUACCCAUUCAUCUAUCGAUGGACACUUGAGUUGCUUCCAUUAUCUUUGCAACUGUAAAUAAUGCUGCAGUAAACCUAGGGGUGCAUGUAUCUUUUCGAUAAAUAUCCAAAGAAAACUAAAACACUAAUCCAGCUGCCUAGGUUUGAAUUGCCCUCUGCCAUGUGCUGGACGUGUCCUUGGGUAGGUCACUUAACUUACCCAAAUCACAGUUUCUCCAGUACCUAUCACAAGGCUUAUUCUGCAGAUGACAUGCAGUAAUGUUGGAAAAAGUACAGACCCAGACCCACACGGAACAGUGGAUGCCAGCUACCAUUUCCACCUUAAGAUGCUAAGGAUCUUUACUUUUUAGAUAACUCUUCACAAAUACUAAUUCAGUUUUCAAGUGAAGAAUAGCUUUGUGAGUACACUUGAUGAAACUCCUAUGAAACUCAUAGAGGGAUUUGAGUUCUGCCAGUGGGAAACACUGUUGCUUGUAUCUCUUCUUAUACAAAGGCAUCCAGGACUAUCCACACCAGGGAUCUAAGAGAUCUAAGGGGAUUGGAUUGCUUCAAAUACCCUCCUUUCGGGUUAGGGAAAUCCUUCUAGAAGGCCUUGUUCAAAAUACUCUGUGGUUACCAGGGAGAAUGACGGAUGCCCUGGAGCCCAGUGGAUUCACAGGUGCAUGAUAUCAUUCCAGCAUAUCCCUGUCUUGCCUAAGCCUUGCACUAUGGAAUGCAAAAGAGCUCAAGAAACUGAAACUCAAAAAUUGUUGAGAAACAAUGCAGAGAGUCUUUGCAAUGGCAUUAAACAUGAAAAUUAAAAACAUACGGUCUGAAAUUCAACUGGCAUAUUUAACAUCUCAAAUAUACUCUGGUGCCAAAAGGGAUGCUAAUCACAACAUGAGGGAUUCAGCUUCUUAUUUGGGAAAGACCAUCACUGCCAAGGGGAGAGAGGCAGGAAGCAAAUCAUUUUGCAAUCUGAAAAAAUAGAGUAGCUAAGUCACGUAGGAUAUGCUACUUUUACCCGUCUUGCAGAGCCAAUAGGUCCAAUACUCUUGCUUUUAUUUCCCGGUGCACUUGUGUAAGAAUUUCACCUAGGGGAAAUGUAAGUAUCUUGGGAACAUCCCACAUGUAUGUAAUAUAAAACAAGUACCUUUUGUUUGUUAAAGUAAUGUUCUAAUCAUUAUAGAGGACUCAGAAACUUUUCAUAAGAAGAAAAUUCAAGUCCUAUCCAGUAUGUCCAUACAGAUAUUUCACAUUUUGUUCUAAUCCUGCCCUUCUUCUAUGCAGGCUUCCUUGUAAAGGACGUUGUAAUCCCACUGAGAUGAGUUACUCACUUUUAUCUAUUUAUGUAGACCUUGUAGAGUCUAUAGGUCCAACACUCUUCUGAAAAAAGGCCAUUCUCCAAACUGUUUCUCUCUUUCUGCUGCACCCACCCCCACCGUUCCCCACCGUGUAAUCUCUUAUUGGGGAAUUUUCUUUCCGACAUUCUGCUGGUCAGUUCUGAGUUUCAUCCUGCUCAGCUCUUAGCCACAUCGGGUGGGGCUUCUCUCCUCUUCCUUAAAGCUCUUUCUAAAUGUCAGCCUCUCCUGGCUCUCCUCCCAGCUGCUAUUUCCAGGGCUGUCCCUUUGUGGGAGCGCCCCAUCUAUAUACAGCUGUAUCCCUAGCUUCUCCAUAAAAAGUCAUUAAAUGUCUUCCCAAUUCAGAGAACUUUAUAGAGGCAGGGAAGGGAACAGUUCGUAACUUUUUCAUCAAUAUUUCAAUUACAUUAGAAGAUGUUCCGAGUGGUCAGGUGUUUGCACACAUAUGUAAGACUGAGUGCACAGGGUAGGCAUGAAUGCAGAAGGAUUAGGUGUUCUUGGCCACUCAGAUGUCACAAGUGGUUAUUGGCAUUGGUGACAUGAUCUUCUGAAAAAGCACACAACUCGUGGCAAAGUUAAGGCUAACCUUUCUUCAGUGUUCACUGUUGUUUGCAUUCGUUGAAAAAUGGGCAUAUAUUGAUAGCUUGAAAAAUAUUAUAUUUCUAUGUAAAACAAACUAGGGGGAAGGUUCUAGCCCCCUAUAAUCAUAAGCAGGUUUUUCAACUACAAGAGUGUCUGGAGGGAAGAUCCUGUGGGCAGGGGACAAAUUUCUGUGGGACCACCCUGCAUGUUGCAAGAUGUCCAGCAUCCUGGCCCCACCCACAGCUCCUCCCACUCACUAGGAGAACCAGAUAGACCCCCAGGUGGUACCCCUCUGUUGGGCACUGACAAUCCUUCUGCACCUCUGUUCUUUCAUCUAUAAAGCCAGGGAAAACCAUGCAUCUAAAGCACAUAGAGAAGUUCCUGGCAUGGAUAAGUUUUACUCCUAGGGACAAGAGUUUACCUUCCUUGAGGACCUGCUGUGUGCUGGGCACCCUCCUGGGGGCUUUAUAGGUGUUAUAUAUGUUCAUAUGUUUUAUAACAACCCUAGGAGAUAGUUACCAGGAUAACCUCCUGUUCUAGGAGAGGAAAUGGAACAUCAGGGUGAACUAUUAGUUUGUCUGAAGGCAAACAGGUAGUGCAAUGAGGAUCAGGGAUUUGAACCUAAGUCCUUGGCCCCAGAGCCUUUGCUCUUCCCGCUGUGCCUUACUGUUUCCUCAGUGGUCGCUGUCAUUCCAUAUCAUCAUCAUAGGGCCUAUGCAGAGCUCCUAAUGGGCACUAAAUGUUUUUUGAAUGAAAAAUUAUUAAUGCACAUGAGUUGGCUGAAUGACUUACCUGCUGGUAAAUGUGUCCAAAUUUCCACUAGGCUUUUAAUGGUGAAUAUGGACAUAUUUGCCAGGUAGUUUGUUGAAGCAGUAUUUAAAUAAAGAGCAAUUAAAUAAAAACAGUAAAAUGUUUGGGGAAAGUUUUGAAAGAAGUUUUGAACUUUAGGAAUAUCUAACCUAACCUCAACUGUUUACAUUUACAAAAUGCCAGUUUAUUUUCAAUGAGAUAUCUAGCCUAUCCCUCGUUAAGAUUUAUGCAUAUUCUGGGGCGCCUGAGUGGUUCAGUCCUUAAGUGUCUGCCUUCUGCUCAGGUCAUGGUCCCAGGGUCCUGGGAUCGAGCCCCGCAUCGGGCUCCCUGCUCGGCGGGAAGCCUGCUUCUCCCUCUUCAACUCCCCCUGCUUGUGUUCUCUCUCUUGCUGUGUCUCUCUCUGUCAAAUAAAUAAAAUAAAAUCUUAAAAAAAAAAAAAAAGAUUUAUGCAUAUUCUAAAUAAUGUUCUUAAUGUAAUUGUGCUUCCCAUCAUAAAACGUGGAGUUAAAGUAGACCUUUAUCAGGUUUUACGGAGAUUAGUACUAUGAAAGUUAACAUAAAAUGAUUUUAAAAUGUGAUCAAGAUUAAACUUGAGGUUUGAAAUUCACAAAAUGCAAGGCUUUUUAAGGAGGUUAUUAAGAUCCAGUGUUCAGUGAAUGACUUCUAAAUUUCCAUUGUGUGACUGUUAUUUUACCCUAUCUUGGCUGAGAACUUUCAACCUAAAAAGACUCAAAUUACCCUAACCUAAUAUGUGAAUUGUAGUUUAGAAAAUUAUAAUUCCAUGAGGUUGUUUUAAACUUUUAGCAAUGUUUGGUAUAAUUACAAUAUUGUACUGUUCUUAUUCGAAGAAAGCAGUAGAAUUUCUGGCAAGGAAUAUUAGGAAACUGGUAACUGUUAAAGGAACAGUGGAGCCUUUUGUGGACCUCUUUACAUCUUUUGGGGGGCAGAGAAAGAAACAUUAAUUAUUAGUGUUUUCUAAAACCCUCCUCUCUUCCCAGAUUCAACCAUAAAGUUGUUUGGGUUUUUUUUAAAGAUUUUAUUUAUUUAUUUGACAGAGAGAGAGAGAUCACAAGUAGGCAGACAGGCAGGCAGAGGGAGAGGGAGAAGCAGGCUCCCUGCUGAGCACAGAGCCCGAUAUGGGGCUCCAUCCCAGGACCCUGGGAUCAUGACCUGAGCCGAAGGCAGAUGCUUAACCAUCUGAGCCACCCAGGCGUCCCAACCAUAAAGUUGUUUUAUCUAUUAAUACUUUGGGGGGGUUUUGUGGCUUUUUAAAAGAUUUUAUUUAUUUAGGAAGAAUGACAGAGCACAAGCAGGGAGAGGGAGAAGCAGGCUCUCUACUGAGGGCUUCCAGAAUGAUAUUGUAGAAUUACUGUUGCCAGGACUCCCGUGAAGAUGGUGUUUCUUUCCACCCCCACCUCCCUCACAUAAGUCAUUCCCGCUUCCCGAAGGGGAACAGUUGGGGGGUGGGAAAGGGCAAGAAUCCUAUCCAAGGGUGCUCCCUCCCUAGGAAAGGGCUCUGUCAGCAGGUAAAAAUGUGGGUGCUGUAAGACCUGCAAGACUAUCUCCAUGUAUUUCCACAAACACAAGAUCACAGAAAUACAAUGUCCAGUGAAAAAGCAGGUUGUGGGAUUGUAAGUACAGUCUAGCAUGUUCAUAAGAUACAAAAAUAGCACUGUCUUUUGUUUAUGCCUUUGUAUGUAUGUACAAGUAGGAACGCAAGACCUGGAUAAGCACCAAGUUAGUAAGAGUUUCCCUCUGGGGAUGUGGGGAGGAGGGAGCUCAACUGGGGGCCCAGGCACAGGAGAUGGCAGGGGGACCUCAGCUCUCUCUAUGUUGUUUACCUUCUUUGUAAAAGGAAAAUAGGCAAUUGUGGCAAGAUGUUAAUGUUUGUUAGUUAUGCAUUGGGGGAAGGGUGGAGAGGAAAUUCAGGUCUGUAAUUUAGGACAGAGGCUGAGACCAGAGCCUCUGAUUGGCAGUCCUCAUUAGAAUGUGGUCAAGUAUUUAGCAUUUUUGAGCUAAAUCUAGAUGUUAAUAGUCAUGCUUAGAGGGUCAGGGCUUUACAUUACUUUCUAGCGGAAGUGAUGGAUGAAUGCCAAUAGCUGAUGUAGUCAGGCCGGCCCAGCCAGGUGGUGAGGCUUCCUCUACACACUGAACUGGGAGAAACCGAGGCUGUGUGCGCUGCUUUCCAGGGGCAUCAAGGAUGGCUUAUUCGGGGGCGCCUGGGUGGCUCAGUCGUUAAGCGUCUGCCUUCGGCUCAGGUCAUGAUCUCAGGGUCCUGGGAUCGAGCCCCGCAUCGGGCUCCCUGCUCAGUGGGAAGCCUGCUUCUCCCUCUCCCACUCCCCACUGCUUGUGUCCCCUCUCUUGCUGUGUCUCUGUCAAAUAAAUAAAUAAAAUAUUAAAAAAAAAAAAAAAAAAGGAUGGCUUAUUCGUCCACGAAGUGCUCCUUAUUCCACACUGAGAUGUUCAGUUAUAUUCGAACGAAUGAGGUUCUUAGAAAAUUUUCCAUAUUUUCGGGGCACUUGGGUGGCUCAGUCGUUAAGCGUCUGCCUUCAGCUCAGGUCAAGAUCCCGGGGUCCUGGGAUCAAGCCCCGCAUUGGGCUCCCUGCUCCUCGGGAAGCCUGCUUCUCCCUCUCCCACUCCCCCUGCUUGUGUUCCCUCUCUCGCUGUCUCUCUAUCUCUCUCUGUCAAAAUAAAUAAAUAAAAUCUUAAAAAAAAAAGAUCCUGGGAUCCUGGGAUCAAGCCCGCAUCAGGGUCCCUGCUCAGCGGGAGUCUCCUUGCCCCUCUCCCCUUCCCCCUCCCCCCUGCUCAUGCUCUCUCUCUCUCUCUCUCAAAUGAAUAAAUAAAAUCCUUUAGAAAAUGUCCAUAUUUUCAAGUGUUGAGGCACACGAACAUUCUGAAUGUCAAACACCAACAAUCUGAGUACCUUCUCUUGAUUUCCCCCCAUCUUGUUUAGUCCUUUUUUGUUUUAUAAAAUUGCAUGAAUGCUUUGGUUGAGUAUGGAUUUUUAUUACUUUUUAGGGUUAGGCAAUAAUUUAAUGAUGUAACUUCUAAAAAUAUUCAAAACAACUACAAAAACAGUUUUUUGCCUCCAAAAAGCAUUUCUUUGUUUAGUACAUAACACACACAAAGGAGAUAGCAUUGAGAGCAAGAACUGUUCUUGAAGUCAGAUGAGCAGGAAACCCUUUGGAGUUCCACACGUAUAGCCUGUCCUUCUGCAUCCUGGCAUACAUACUUGUUCCUGCUUUCCUGCCUGAAUUCUGGAGCUUGUGAUCAGACCCUCUUCUAACAGUUACUUUGCAUCGCAUAGCUGUGGGGAAUUUAUGGGCACAUCUCAACCUCUAAAAUGUCAGCUCUUUCAUCAGCAAAACUUUAAACAAAUCUCACACAUCUUUUCUAAAUUAGAAAUGUAACCUUGACCGCAGUCCCAGAGUUACUAUUGUGCACAGAAAGAAAACACUGCGUAAUGUUGAAAUAAUGUGCAAACUGAAAUGAUAGAAAUGAAAAAUGCUUUAAUGUUUCUGAAUAGGCUUUGUUUUCACAAAUGCAUCAGUUAUAAUUAGGUUCACUCACAAAUAACAGCAACAGCGAAAGAAAGGGGCCCAAAGCAAAUGCAAGUUUAUUUCUCUGUCACAUGAAAGAAAUCCAGUCGACGGGAAUGGCAGCUCCUCAAUCAUCAGGGGCUCUAUGCUACCUAGUAGUCCAAGAUGGUUACCCAAGCCCCUGCCAUCACAUCUGUAUCCCAGCCAACAGGAAGAAGGAAGAAAGGCACACACCCUUUUUAGGAGCCUUCCUGGAAGUUACACCCUACAUUUCUGUUAAUUAAUUACCUUAGUCACGCUUAACUACAGCUAAGCCAUACUUAGCUACAAGAGAAGCUAAGACAUUUUCUGAUUCUACAUGGUCUCCUUCAAAUAGAAAGGUGGGUUGAUAACCCACGGUCAGCAUGACAUAGCUCCAGAGGUUUUCCAAACAUAUAUAGUUGAGUUAAUGCCACAUCACCCAUGUCACCAUCUCCUUUUUGACAGCACCUGCCAGGUGGCCAGGCUGGAUGGAGGAGAGGCAGACUUUUGGCUUCUCUACAUAACCAUGCUUAGGAUUAUUUUUAAGUCAGCCAAACCGACCAGCUCACUUUCAUUCUUAAGUACAUCACAGAUCAUUUUUGAAGAAGAGUUUAGAACAUGGCCAAAAGUAAGACCGGUUUUAUAAAUCAUGACUCCUUAUAAUGGAAUAUUAUAUAAUAAAAUAUUAUCUGGCAGAUGUUAAUAUCUGCCAUAAUGAAGCCUUGUAUAAACGCUUACCUUUACCAGUAUAAUAAUAAUAUUUCUAUACACUUAGCAUUUCCCUGUAUAAUACAAAUAAUCCUAUUUUAAUCAGCAGCUUUACCCAAGUCAGACUCACUUGUAGAGGAAAGGCCAAGCUAGGGACAUACCAAAGAGAAGUAGAGGAGAAAGAAGUGGCAAAUUGAGGGUUCACUCUUCGUUUAUACAAAAUGAGAAGUAAGGCAAACUGUGGUUUCAGCACCUUUGGGGCUUAGGGAUAGGGUAGAGGUCAGGAGGUGGGAACAUUAGAAUUAUUCCUCAUUAUUUGUUACCUUUUACCUAGAAAAUAUGCUACCAGACAUCUCAAGGGUAUCUUUCCUCUGUCAACAGUAGAGUGAUAGCCAGGAACAUAGAUUCUAGUGAAAAUAGUUAAAAGUGCCUGAUUUGUUUUUUUUCUUCACAUCAAAUUUUCCAAUAAUGUAUCACUAAUAAUAUAUCCAUUUUUUUUUAAAGAUUUUAUUUAUUUAUUAGAGAGAGAGAGUGAGAGAGAGAAAGAGCACAAGAGGGGGGAGCGGCAGAGGGAGAAGCACACUCCCUGCUGAGCAGGGAGCCCGAUGCGGGACUCGAUCCCAGGACUCCAGGAUCAUGACCUGAGCCGAAGGCAGUCGCUUAACCAACUGAGCCACCCAGGCGCCCAAUAUAUCCAUUUUUUAAACAGAAAAAGCCUAUACUGAAAAUAAGCCAAAGAAAAAAUUUGUGCAUGCCUCCUUUUCAAGGUUGUUUUCUUAACUUGGAGCUUUUUACAAAUGUAAACAUGAAUUACUGGUCUUUUCAGCGUGUUCUCAUUUUAUUGUCUUAAAAUUGGAUCCUUUCAAGGUCCAGUCCUGUUGGACAGGCAUGGGGUAGGGGGGGCUAGUCUUACGCUCCUGUCUGUGUCACAACUACCACAGGAAACGUAGAAAGCAGGACCAUGCGGACCAUUCCUGCCUCCACGCCCAGCAGUAGAGCCUCAGGAUCAGUGAGAGGAACAUUGCACCUGCCAUCCUAAAUAUAAAGAUCAUUGUUGAUAACACUGAGCUUGCGGUCAUUGUUCCUUGUGAGCUCCCUGUGCUGACUGCACGAAUGCUGAGCAGAAUGGAGCCAGGCUUGAAUAAUCAUGACAUUGAUCUUUCAGGAAACGAGUAGGACUAGACAUGAAUGUAAAAACAGCAGGUCUAGCCUCCUCCCUUCUUAGAUAAGAAACCUGCAAAGUAGAGUCUGGGCCAGUGACCCUUGGAUGUUUUGACCAAAAUUGAGAGCCUCAAGUACAUUUUUUAUCACACAUGCAUGUGCGCACACAUGUGUGCAUGUACAAAAAAACUGAAUCACGCCUUCUGAAACAAUACUACUUACUCUUGUGUGAUGUAUCUUAAUAAUUCCUAUACUGUUUCUUUUUCUCUUUUUAAUUCUGGGUGCAACCCCAUACGUUAAUUUUGUGACCCACUAAUGGGUCUCUGCCUUCAGUUUGGAUAAUCCCAGCUCUGCCUGUUUGUUGAAUACAUUGUCAUCUUCCAGCUUUCAAGUUUAAAAUGUUUUCUUCUGUCUGUCUUAGUUUCCUCUAUUAGAAGUUGCCCUGCUAGGAAUGUUGAUGUAUUUCAUUUGUUCUCAAGCUCCAUGAUCAUAGUUUCACUUGCUGGGUUUCUUGUACUUGCAGAAAAAGCUAUUACAGGUUUUUUUAUGUUCCCCCCCCGCCCCGGGAAGCUUUCAGAUAAAAUAUAUUUCUCUUUUGACCUCUUUACUUUUUUCCUCCUUGUGUUUGUUUUCAUAAAAUGCUCCAUGAAAAUUGUCCUAUUUCAUCUUUUGAUUAUUGUAGGGUGAGACAGGUUAGAAGCAAAUCCUUUCCGAAUUGGCCUCUCUUUUGAGUUAUUUUCCUUGUGUCCAGUUCUUGGGAGCAGCAAGAGAACAGCUCUGCCCCCAUGCAGUCAUCCGAAAUUCCAGGCCUCUAGCCAGAACUCUGGGACGCCAUUGUUUGCUAAAAACAGAAGGGUUAAAACCCUGGUCAUGGCGAUGACAUUGUACAAAUGCUCAUGAUUGCAACAAGAAGACGGGAACUAUUUGGAUAAUGGAUUCAUGAAUUUAAUUCAGUUGGAUUUUUAUAAGGGAGGUAAAAAUAACAUGUAUAAUUUAAUUUUCAUCUUCAACAUUUUUUUCCAAAAUUAAAUUUCACUUUGGUCAAAAUUAUUUUAUAAAAUAGGAUGAUUAAUGACGGUUUCAAAUAAUGGGAACCAGCAUCUGUAACUAAUUAAUUCCAGAGGAAGGAAAUUCUGGGUCCUGACACCAAAGCGCAUCUUAGUGGCAUUACUGGUAUUUCCAGCGUUUUUUUUUUUUUGUCAUUACUGAAAACUUAUGGUUCAAGUUGAUCUAUGUCCUUUUUAUACUUUGCUUAUCUUUUUCUUUCCUUUCCCCAGAUACAUCCUCUAUAACUUUCUCAUGCAUUCUAUACUACUACCAAAAUUCUCUAAUAUAUGUAUAUAAGCAUUGCCAUCACCAAAAGGGUAAGUGGAAAGGCUCAGGCUAGUAUGAAUACUGUUUAAUUACUGAUUUCUUUAUGUGGGUCUCCUAAUAUGUGCCUGGUUGGUUCUACAUAUUCUUAGGGAAAUUUCACCUUAAGACAUUGAAUAAGGGCGCCUGGGUGGCUCAGUCGUUAAGUGUCUGCCUUUGGCUCAGGUCAUGAUCCCAGGGUCCUGGGAUCGAGUCCCACAUCGGGCUCUCUGCUCAGCGGGAAGCCUGCUUCUCCCUCUCCCACUCCCCCUGCUUGUGUUCCUGCUCUCGCUAUGUCUCUCUCUGUCAAAUAAAUAAAUAAAUAAUCUUUAAAAAAAAAGAGAAAAAAAAAAAGACAUUGAAUAAAAGCAAAGAAGAACACAGAUUAAAUAGACAAAUCCAAAAGAGGAGAAGGGAUUUGAUUUUUUAUAAAAUUUCAUAGACUUAAGAUGAUUUGGAUCCUCAAAAUUAAUAUGUGACUUUGAAUGGAGUCUUCCCUGAGUUUAUCUGCAAACAGCUGCAGCUGGAUAGACAUGUUUACAUAGGGCAGAAAGAGUCGGUUUGAAGAGUCUAGUUUCCACUUGCUUUAGCACUAUUCAGGAAUUACAGCCCAUGAUGCUUCAGAAGGAAGUCUAGUCCAGCAUAUUCCUUGCUUCCUCCUGUACAAAGGUUUUAUUUUUAUUUCUGAUUUGUUGGGAGAAAAUAAGUGCUGACUACAUGGAGGCUACAGUUUCAUUCCUCCCUCUGUUGAGAAGAAAUUCUUCCGAGGAUCCAGUUAGCAGAGUCGGCCCUGUGCAGACAUAUUUCUUACCUCAACCCCUUUUGAGCCAAGUGGAUUUGCAAGGACUAGUUCUUCCGUGAGCCCUCUCACAGUCCAUAAACUCAAGUUCAUGUCCAAAAGGAAUGGGGUACUCAGUAUGUCAUCUAUUUGAUACCUAUGUUUUUGCAUGUAUCAUAAAGAAAAAAAACUAUUGCCGUGAUAAAUUGGCUAUGAAAUCUGAAAGUUUUGAUAUUCUGAGGACACAUGGAAUCAAGGGCUCCUUAGUUACCCAGCAGGUGGAAAUUCCACUAGUAAUUCUCAGGACAGCAUCAGGCAUAUCAAGUAGCCAGAAACUCAGGGAAAAAUGGUCUUGGUGCCUCAGUUUAACUUUGUCUCAGAGCCAAGGAGGGGUUUCCCCAAGGUAAAAACAAACAUGAGAAUUUAGAUCUAAAGCAGUUGUUGCCUUUUCUCCCACUGCGUACGUGGUGAUAACGGGAACGUGCAAGAGAAUGGGCAUUGUUCGUUUCCGCAACCAGUCAUGGGAAGGCAGAUGCCUGGCUGGAGGAGGCUGGGAAGUCAAGUUUUGGGGGCUGACUCUCCCAGUGGAAGGGGGCCAUUGGUUCUCGGGAGGCCAGGUGGCCGAGUGAGUGUUCUCUGCUGUGGCCCACUGCUGCGUUGGGUACCAAGCCCAAUGGAACUGGUCUGGGGAGCUUCGUCUCUGGGAGCUCUUUCCUUGUUCUCUCGUAAACUCCCCGCUGCUGCCCAGGACUUGGCCCUGUUGGCACACAGACCAAAAAGUAAGAGAGGAUUGUGAUUCACAAUCCCUAGAUUAUUUGCUCCAAAAGAGAAAACAAAUUUAUGGAUUCCGUUUAAAAAAGAAAGAAAGGCGUAUCAUAAUGAACAAGACUCCAGGUUACAUGCUUUCUGUUACCACAGCAGACCCAUAUUGCAAUGAGAAAACAAGUCACCAAUCAGAGUUCAGGAAAAGAAUUCAGAGCUACGUUUCCUGUACCAAAAUAUUGAAGUACAUGGUAUCAAGAUUUUUGCUGGAAGCACCACCUACCAAGCAGUUCAGCUGGAGAAAUGUGGCGUGAUUAAUUGGCUCGUGGACAGGACGGCAGGGCCCGGACACUGGCAUAGACCGCAGUCAGAUGGGCCUUGGUUUCAGCCUGAGCUCCAUCCGUCAGGGCAGUGUGAGCUUGGGAAGAAUGGUUUAUCCUUAGCCUUACAAGCCGUAUGUGACAGGUCAAGGUCCCUCGCAGGUACUGAAGGGUGAAACGAGACCGACGCCGUCUAGUAUGUUGCCUGACACACAGGCAGUGCUUAGUGAAUGUUAGUCUCUGUGCUCUCCCUGUGCCCAGUCUCUAAUUAGAAUAGCUUUCCCCAUCGUAUAUGUUUCUUCUUGGCAGGAAGACCGACCACUGCUCCCACCUGUGUUGUUCCAUAUUGAUUUUGUUCUGUCCAUCCUUCCUUUCUUUCUCGGUGAGGGGAGUGCAGCAUCCCCCAGUGAGGCGCUCGCUACUUUUCAUCUCCAGGAACUGCCGUGGUGUAGUGAGCAUGCAGAGAUUAUACUGCCAUUAUCCUAUUUCAGGAACUUCUGGUAUAUACAGGUAUCGUUAGCAUAACAAUUUUAUAUAAUUUUUUUUAUUCCGGCGUCUAAUGGAUUUGUAACAUUCUCAGGAAGAGUAUCUAGAAAGUAUAAGACUCCUUCGUCAUGCUUGAACCACAGCAAUAACAACCUCUGUUGUUAUUUUGGUAGAUAAUUCUAGUUUGGGGGUUUUUUUAGAAGGGGGUUGGUGAGAAUGCUGUGCAUUGUAGGAUAUCUGGCAGCAUCCCUGGCCUCUACUUCCUAGAUGCCAAUUACGACAACCAAAAAUGACUGCAGACAUUACCAAAUGUCUCGUGGAGGGGGAGGGGGAGGAGGUGGGCAGAAUCAGCCCCAUUAGAGAACUACUGAUCUAUCCUUAAGGUUUGUGAUUCCAUAGUAAUGGGUUCAGUAAAUGUACCAAAGCAUGAACCAUUCAGAAGUCAGUGUGCUACCCCUGAAGCUAAUAAUGCAGCGUAUGUUCACUAAAUUGAGUUUAAAUUUAAAUUUUUUUUUUAAAAAGAAGUAAAUGUGAAACAGACUUGAAUUCAAAUUUGCUAUGUAGUGGCAAAUAAAUAAAAAUUUUGAAAUACCAGAGGGAAUUCAAGCAAGAAAAAGUACAAUGGGGAAAAGUCAGAAAGAUGUUCCUUUUUUUAAUGAGGUGAUUCGUAUUUCUGAUCUUGGUCAUGUUAAAAAUGUACUCUGUUUCCUCCCUAAAUGAAGACAUGAGUACAUACAUGAGUGCUUAAGGGCCAGGCAAUAUAAUAGAGGUUCAGUAAUUGUUAGAUGAGAAAAAAUGGAGGUUUUUCCUUAAUGCUGAGAUGCAUGUGUUUAAUUAAAAGUGCAGAAAGCGUGUAGUGCAGAAGAGAGCUCUGAGCUGAGCAUCCGAGGGACCCGGGACACCAUCUCAGGAAGGUAACUGGCCAGGCACUUGGGAGCCCCGAGGAAGUUCGUUCCUCAGAACUCUAGAAUUUUGUGAACCCCUAAUUUUUAGGUCCCCCCUAUGAGGUAGUGAUGUAAAUGCUUUUUUUUUUUUUUUGUAAGUUAGCUGAUUGGUACUUGCUUAUCUGAGUCCUCAUUGUGAUGAAAAUCUUCAAUGCAUUGUGUACUGCACAUUGGACACAUGAUAGGAUAAUUUGACGUAGAAAAAUCAUCCCUCUGCCUCAUCGAAGAAUUUCAUGGACACGGUAUGUGCCUGCCAGUCGUGUUUUAUUGCCGUUUCUGUUCAGUUUGUCCGGUGUGACUUAGGGCGCCCUCGCAGAGCCUCACGGAAAGCAGGAGCCUGGUUGUGCAGGAUCGGUUGUCACUUUCCACCUGAACCUUGAGCUCUGUUUCCUGCGAAAGUGCUAACAGUUUUUGUCCAAACAGCUAGUCCCUUCCCAGCGCAGACCCACCGACACUUCCUUUCUGAACAGAUUAUGGGUUAUAAAGUUUGAUUCAAGCCUUGCUACCAAAUCAUGACCUAGCAGCUUCUGUGCUUACACAGAAGAGUAUCAGUCAGUUUCCUGUUUUCCGUCAUGUUGUAAGGUGAAUAGCUGUGACCUCCGCGCCCCCCCCCAAAAGAGAUUGCCAAGACAAAUAAUUGUUGUGGCACACGCAAACAUUUCCCUGCGAGCCUUUUUAAAUAUGCAGCUUUCAGAGAAGCAUAUUACAUGCUUUUCAAGAAUGCAAAGUCAUAGUAAGUACCCCUGCUUCAUGACUCAAGAACAGCUAGCUGUCUAUUAAAGUCAACAUUAAGUAACUCUUUAGCAGGUACGUCUUUUAAAAUUUAUCAAUAGCAGCAAAUAGGGUAAGUGACUAAAUUGCUUAUUUCAGAUCACUAGGAAAACUUAACUUACAGGUUGCUCUGUUGACCAUUCUCAGGAAGCGUCUGGGAACUGGAACCUGCCGGUGGGAGUGGCUUGUCCCCUGCUCACGUCAAUACACAGAUACACAGCAGUGCGCGCUGUCCAUUUCCAAGCUGAUACGUGUGGAUGUCGCCUUAGGAAGUGGUGCUUCCUUGUGUGACUAGCGACUCUGCUCCAGCACACCUUUUCCACACUGUCUUCCUUAGCAGCCAGCUAUUCAAAAACAAGUAACCUAGAAAAUGAUUCCAUGCCAUAUUUCAGAGCCGUCUGCAAAGUGUACCGUGACAGGUAGCAGACCUACAGAGAUGAGGAGGACAUGGUCCCUGUCCUCUGAGUGGGAGAUGCCACCUAAGUCUAAUUGGGAUGCCGCAUGCAGAGAUAGGUAUGGGCCCGGUGAAGGAGCAAACCAGAGGGCCGGGAGGGGCAGGAGGGCUGACCAUCUCCCCUGAGAGGAUUGGGGCAAACUUCUGGAGCAUCUGGGCCGAGGCUUGGACAAUGAGUUAAAGAAGAGAGGUGGGAGAGAGGAACAUUCCAGUUGUUCCCAUCUGGAGGAGGGUCAGAGGUGACAAACAUAGUAUGUGUGGGCUCUGCAGGAAGCUUGAUAUUAGUAAAGCACAAGAUUUCAGGCAGAGUGAACAUGGACAUAGGCGCGUGCUUGAGGUUACAUCGGGGUGGCCUUAGUU